This is a small nucleolar RNA of Acomys russatus (golden spiny mouse), 131 nucleotides long. RefSeq annotates it as small nucleolar RNA SNORA17. NCBI's taxonomy places the organism in Eukaryota, Metazoa, Chordata, Mammalia, Rodentia, Muridae. The record is from RefSeq and is a predicted model, not a curated record. The transcript has a single exon.
UCUGCCUCUAGAGGCACUGCAGGUGUGGCUGCUGUGUCAUGUGUUCCUUAGUAAGUGGCAGAGAGGAGAGAGGCUAUGUCUACACUCAGUGUUCUGGCAUGUGAACAUCUGAGCCCAAGACAACCACCAGU